Molecule: ribosomal RNA, 1342 nt
Filed under: Lactiplantibacillus plantarum
Lineage: Bacteria; Bacillati; Bacillota; Bacilli; Lactobacillales; Lactobacillaceae
Description: Lactobacillus plantarum 16S ribosomal RNA
Rfam family: Bacterial small subunit ribosomal RNA
Source: RNAcentral
GAGUGGCGAACUGGUGAGUAACACGUGGGAAACCUGCCCAGAAGCGGGGGAUAACACCUGGAAACAGAUGCUAAUACCGCAUAACAACUUGGACCGCAUGGUCCGAGUUUGAAAGAUGGCUUCGGCUAUCACUUUUGGAUGGUCCCGCGGCGUAUUAGCUAGAUGGUGGGGUAACGGCUCACCAUGGCAAUGAUACGUAGCCGACCUGAGAGGGUAAUCGGCCACAUUGGGACUGAGACACGGCCCAAACUCCUACGGGAGGCAGCAGUAGGGAAUCUUCCACAAUGGACGAAAGUCUGAUGGAGCAACGCCGCGUGAGUGAAGAAGGGUUUCGGCUCGUAAAACUCUGUUGUUAAAGAAGAACAUAUCUGAGAGUAACUGUUCAGGUAUUGACGGUAUUUAACCAGAAAGCCACGGCUAACUACGUGCCAGCAGCCGCGGUAAUACGUAGGUGGCAAGCGUUGUCCGGAUUUAUUGGGCGUAAAGCGAGCGCAGGCGGUUUUUUAAGUCUGAUGUGAAAGCCUUCGGCUCAACCGAAGAAGUGCAUCGGAAACUGGGAAACUUGAGUGCAGAAGAGGACAGUGGAACUCCAUGUGUAGCGGUGAAAUGCGUAGAUAUAUGGAAGAACACCAGUGGCGAAGGCGGCUGUCUGGUCUGUAACUGACGCUGAGGCUCGAAAGUAUGGGUAGCAAACAGGAUUAGAUACCCUGGUAGUCCAUACCGUAAACGAUGAAUGCUAAGUGUUGGAGGGUUUCCGCCCUUCAGUGCUGCAGCUAACGCAUUAAGCAUUCCGCCUGGGGAGUACGGCCGCAAGGCUGAAACUCAAAGGAAUUGACGGGGGCCCGCACAAGCGGUGGAGCAUGUGGUUUAAUUCGAAGCUACGCGAAGAACCUUACCAGGUCUUGACAUACUAUGCAAAUCUAAGAGAUUAGACGUUCCCUUCGGGGACAUGGAUACAGGUGGUGCAUGGUUGUCGUCAGCUCGUGUCGUGAGAUGUUGGGUUAAGUCCCGCAACGAGCGCAACCCUUAUUAUCAGUUGCCAGCAUUAAGUUGGGCACUCUGGUGAGACUGCCGGUGACAAACCGGAGGAAGGUGGGGAUGACGUCAAAUCAUCAUGCCCCUUAUGACCUGGGCUACACACGUGCUACAAUGGAUGGUACAACGAGUUGCGAACUCGCGAGAGUAAGCUAAUCUCUUAAAGCCAUUCUCAGUUCGGAUUGUAGGCUGCAACUCGCCUACAUGAAGUCGGAAUCGCUAGUAAUCGCGGAUCAGCAUGCCGCGGUGAAUACGUUCCCGGGCCUUGUACACACCGCCCGUCACACCAUGAGAGUUUGUAACACCC